RNAcentral lists this unclassified non-coding RNA (198 nucleotides) under rhizosphere metagenome. RNAcentral describes it as "partial ribosomal RNA internal transcribed spacer region". The record is from RNAcentral.
GUGCGGGGCUCCGGCCCCUAAGGAUGUAGGCCAGUCAGAAACGGCUGGUUUACGCUGUCUAUAUUACCCUUGUCUAUGAGUACUACUGUUUCCUCGGCAGGCUUGCCUGCCAAUGGGGACCCUAUCAAACCUUUUUAUAUUGUUGUAACCGUAACCAAACAAAUAAUCAAAACUUUCAACAACGGAUCUCUUGGUUCU